AACGAACGCUGGCGGCAGGCUUAACACAUGCAAGUCGAACGCCCCGCAAGGGGAGUGGCAGACGGGUGAGUAACGCGUGGGAAUCUACCCAUCCCUACGGAACAACUCCGGGAAACUGGCGCUAAUACCGUAUACGCCCUACGGGGGGAAGAUUUAUCGGGGAUGGAUGAGCCCGCGUUGGAUUAGCUAGUUGGUGGGGUAAAGGCCUACCAAGGCGACGAUCAAUAGCUGGUCUGAGAGGAUGAUCAGCCACAUUGGGACUGAGACACGGCCCAAACUCCUACGGGAGGCAACAGUGGGGAAUAUUGGACAAUGGGCGAAAGCCUGAUCCAGCCAUGCCGCGUGAGUGAUGAAGGUCUUAGGAUUGUAAAGCUCUUUCACCGGAGAAGAUAAUGACGGUAUCCGGAGAAGAAGCCCCGGCUAACUUCGUGCCAGCAGCCGCCGUAA
Molecule: ribosomal RNA, 447 nt
Filed under: uncultured bacterium
Lineage: Bacteria
Description: partial 16S ribosomal RNA
Rfam family: Bacterial small subunit ribosomal RNA
Source: RNAcentral